UACGGAGGGUGCAAGCGUUAUCCGGAUUCACUGGGUUUAAAGGGUGCGUAGGUGGGCAGGUAAGUCAGUGGUGAAAUCUCCGGGCUUAACCCGGAAACUGCCGUUGAUACUAUCUGUCUUGAAUGUAGUGGAGGUGAGCGGAAUAUGUCAUGUAGCGGUGAAAUGCUUAGAUAUGACAUAGAACACCAAUUGCGAAGGCAGCUUACUACACAACGAUUGACGCUGAGGCACGAAAGCGUGGGGAUCAAACAGG
RNAcentral lists this ribosomal RNA (253 nucleotides) under uncultured bacterium. RNAcentral describes it as "partial 16S ribosomal RNA". It matches the Rfam family "Bacterial small subunit ribosomal RNA", at positions 524 to 776 of the family's 1533-position model. The record is from RNAcentral.